This 497-nucleotide ribosomal RNA is filed under the name uncultured bacterium. Its description in RNAcentral is "partial 16S ribosomal RNA". It matches the Rfam family "Bacterial small subunit ribosomal RNA", at positions 28 to 507 of the family's 1533-position model. The record is from RNAcentral.
GAUGAACGCUGGCGGCGUGCCUAAUACAUGCAAGUCGAGCGAACGGACGAGAAGCUUGCUUUUCUGAUGUUAGCGGCGGACGGGUGAGUAACACGUGGAUAACCUACCUAUAAGACUGGGAUAACUUCGGGAAACCGGAGCUAAUACCGGAUAAUAUUUUGAACCGCAUGGUUCAAAAGUGAAAGACGGUCUUGCUGUCACUUAUAGAUGGAUCCGCGCUGCAUUAGCUAGUUGGUAAGGUAACGGCUUACCAAGGCAACGAUGCAUAGCCGACCUGAGAGGGUGGUCGGCCACACUGGAACUGAGACACGGUCCAGACUCCUACGGGAGGCAGCAGUAGGGAAUCUUCCGCAGUGGGCGAAAGCCUGACGGAGCAACGCCGCGUGAGUGAUGAAGGUCUUCGGAUCGUAAAACUCUGUUAUUAGGGAAGAACAUAUGUGUAAGUAACUGUGCACAUCUUGACGGUACCUAACCAGAAAGCCACGGCUAACUACGUG